CCAUCUGUCCGUCCCUGUGCCCCAUUCAUCCCUAUGGUGUCCGUCUGUCUCUAUGCCCACCCGUCUGUCUGUCUGUCUGUCUGUCCAUCCCCCUUUAUCAGCCCCAUAUCCCGUCUGUCCGUCUGUCCAUCCUGGACCCCCUUAUCAGCCCCAUAUCCCGUCUGUCUGUCUGUCCAUCCCCAGCCCCCUUAUCAGCCCCAUAUCAUGUCUGUCUGUCUGUCUGUCUGUCCAUCCCCAGCCCCCUUUAUCAGCCCCAUAUCAUGUCUGUCUGUCUGUCCACAGCCCCCCUUAUCAGCCCCAUAUCCCGUCUGUCUGUCUGUCCAUCCCCAGCCCCCCUUAUCAGCCCCAUAUCCCAUCUGUCUGUCUGUCCAGCCCCCUUUAUCAGCCCCAUAUCAUGUCUGUCUGUCUGUCUGUCUGUCCAUCCCCAGCCCCCUUAUCAACCCCAUAUCAUGUCUGUCUGUCUGUCUGUCCAUCCCCCUUUAUCAGCCCCAUAUCCCGUCUGUCUGUCUGUCCAUCCCCAGCCCCCUUUAUCAGCCCCAUAUCAUGUCUGUCUGUCCAUCCCCAGCCCCCCUUAUCAGCCCCAUAUCAUGUCUGUCUGUCUGUCUGUCUGUCCAUCCUGGACCCCUUUAUCAGCCCCAUAUCCCGUCUGUCUGUCUGUCCAUCCUGGACCCCUUUAUCAGCCCCAUAUCCCAUCUGUCUGUCUGUCCCCAGCCCCCUUUAUCAGCCCCAUAUCCCGUCUGUCUGUCUGUCUGUCCAUCCCCCUUUAUCAGCCCCAUAUCCCGUCUGUCUGUCUGUCCAUCCCCCUUUAUCAGCCCCAUGUCUGUCUGUCUGUCCCCAGCCCCCUUUAUCAGCCCCAUAUCCCAUCUGUCUGUCUGUCCAGCCCCCUUUAUCAGCCCCAUAUCCCAUCUGUCUGUCUGUCCAGCCCCCUUUAUCAGCCCUAUAUCCCGUCUGUCUGUCUGUCUGUCCAUCCCCCUUUAUCAGCCCCAUAUCCUGUCUGUCUGUCCAUCCCCAGCCCCCUUUAUCGACCCCAAAUCCUCUCCAUUCNNNNNNNNNNNNNNNNNNNNNNNNNNNNNNNNNNNNNNNNNNN
This 1087-nucleotide long non-coding RNA is filed under the name Coturnix japonica (Japanese quail). RNAcentral's name for it is "lncRNA (ENSCJPG00005001663.1)". The record is from RNAcentral. Lineage: Eukaryota; Metazoa; Chordata; Aves; Galliformes; Phasianidae.